RNAcentral lists this transfer RNA (72 nucleotides) under Camelus bactrianus (Bactrian camel). It matches the Rfam family "tRNA". Rfam says of the family: Transfer RNA (tRNA) molecules are approximately 80 nucleotides in length. Their secondary structure includes four short double-helical elements and three loops (D, anti-codon, and T loops). The record is from Rfam by way of RNAcentral. RNAcentral also lists the same sequence under 1 other name. Lineage: Eukaryota; Metazoa; Chordata; Mammalia; Artiodactyla; Camelidae.
GAGGGUAUAGUUCAGUGGUAGAGUGCUUGCUUAGCGUGCACGAGGUCAUGGGUUCAAUCCUCAGUACCUCCA